This is a non-coding RNA of Poecilia reticulata (guppy), 1612 nucleotides long. NCBI's taxonomy places the organism in Eukaryota, Metazoa, Chordata, Actinopteri, Cyprinodontiformes, Poeciliidae. The record is from RefSeq and is a predicted model, not a curated record.
GGAACAUCAGGACCAGGAGGAGGAGAAGUAGGAAGAGGAGGAGAAGGAGAAACGUCUGCUUGGGGAACUCUAGCUCUGCAUGCGAAAAUGGAUUAUCGGACCAAGUGGAAAUAUGUACUCUAAUAUGGAUUAUGACCACGAAACGGCAAAGGUAGGACUGGACUUUUGAUUUUAGCUUCAUGAAAUGAGCUAUUUCUUUUUUUCUUCUUUAGCUGCUGGUUCAGUGAGUUUUGCACGUAGCAUGGUGACUCUGGUAUUGUUGGAAACUGCAGCGCUUCGGCUUUACUCUGAUAGAUAGUUUUUGUAUAUCGGGCCUCCUUGCUCUUUUAUUGUUGCAUUGUCCGGGUGUGCCUCGUUAGUGUCUGAUUGCGUUUCUUUCCAUCAAUCUGAUUAGUGUUCAGUCUGGGUGUGGUUGAGAUAGAAAAUAGUUUUUCAUUUAGAAGAGCUUUUUCCCUUUACGUGGAUAUGCAAUAUACAUAUAUUGAUAAAUGUAUAGCAUGUGUUUUUAAUUGAUCUUGUUGCGGCAAGCGCCGAGGACCCAAAUUUGGGUCCCCUAGCGACAGAGAUUUUAAAGAUAACUGCGUUCUGACAGUGUGAAUGAAACAAAGCAGUCGAUCAUCACCUCUCACUUCCAGCCAGCUCGUCGGUGACUCUCCUCUAGAAGGAUGGAGACACUUGUAGAAACCUUCCUCUGCUUUAAUGAUCAUUUUCCCUGGUUUCUCUCUCCCAAUGAAAACAUUAUUUCUGUAGAACGUAGCUUCAAAGUCUGACGUGGAUUUGUCAUCAUCUUUGUCUUUUUUAUAGGAACAACCAAGUGUCACAUCUUCUCCCUCAAAGACAGGAGAUGAAGGACUCUCGAGGAUCACAGUUUUAUCUGAAAUGAAACAAUUUUAUAAAAAUUAUAUUUUCUAAAAAUGUAGAAAAGUCCAUGUUUAGAGUGAACUCAGRCAAGAUGCAUGUCCAUUACCAGURACAGUGAGAUUGACCCUGUUGCUUCGUUCUCUUUGGUCACAUUCACACCAGUACACGCCGGUGUCAGUUGGGUAAGCAUCCUCAAUGGUGCAGGAGGAAUCUCCAGGGAGCGCCCAGCCAUGCUGACAUUCCUGAGGAGGAUUGUUCUUUAUCAUCCUCAUCACUUUCCAGUCACUGGAGUUUGUCACACAGGUUUGUUGCCAUGGAUAGUGUCAUUGUUCUGGUGAACUGCUAGGUAACUACUCCCCUUUUUGCUGCACCUUUCUGCAUCUCCUCUCUGCCUGUUAGUGAGGAGAACCAGGUGGACUCAAUCUCCUAGCAAUCAGAGUGCAGCUACCUUUGGUGUGACUGACCUGUCACUCCUGUUUGAGAGAAUGGAAGCAAACAGUGCUGGUAGCAUGUAAAUUCAGAACUGUGUAAAAGUUUCUAAAAACUGAAAGACAGCUGGUGAGCCUCACAAUGCUGCUGCUCAUUGCUGAAUUUCAUUGGAGCAGCAAAUGAGCUCUGAUUGAUUGUUGUAUCAAAUUGUUUAAUCUUAUAACUGAAUGUAGAUUGACAAAGCUAGUAAGUUAAAAAGAAUAAAAAAUACACUURGUGUUUAUUGGUUAAAAUAGUAAGAAAAAAAUAAAUGUUGGUCAGA